AAAACGACUCUCGGCAACGGAUAUCUCGGCUCUCGCAUCGAUGAAGAACGUAGCGAAAUGCGAUACUUGGUGUGAAUUGCAGAAUCCCGUGAACCAUCGAGUCUUUGAACGCAAGUUGCGCCCAAAACCUUCGGGUCGAGGGCACGUCUGCCUGGGUGUCACGC
Molecule: ribosomal RNA, 164 nt
Filed under: Phyllanthus niruri
Lineage: Eukaryota; Viridiplantae; Streptophyta; Magnoliopsida; Malpighiales; Phyllanthaceae
Also listed under: 18 other names
Description: 5.8S ribosomal RNA
Rfam family: 5.8S ribosomal RNA
About the family: 5.8S ribosomal RNA (5.8S rRNA) is a component of the large subunit of the eukaryotic ribosome. It is transcribed by RNA polymerase I as part of the 45S precursor that also contains 18S and 28S rRNA. Functionally, it is thought that 5.8S rRNA may be involved in ribosome translocation.
Source: RNAcentral